GACGAACGCUGGCGGCGUGCUUAACACAUGCAAGUCGAACGGAAAGGCCCUGCUUUUGUGGGGUGCUCGAGUGGCGAACGGGGGAGUAACACGAGAGCAACCUGCCCUUGACUGUGGGAUAACUUCAGGAAACUGGGGCUAAUACCGGAUAGGAGCUCCUGCUGCAAGGCGGGGGUCGGAAAGUUACGGCGGUUGGGGAUGGGCUCGGGGUUUAUCGGUUUGUUGGCGGGGUAGUGGCUUACCAAGGCUUUGACGGGUAGCCGGCCGGGGAGGGUGGCCGGCCACAUUGGGACUGGGGUCACGCCCCUAAUCCUUCGGGAGGCCACAGUGGGGAAUAUUGCGCCAUGGGCGCAAGCCUGUUGCAGCGACGCCGCGUGCGCAAUAACGGCUUUCGGGUUGUAAACCGUUUUCGCCUGUGACAAAGCGUAAGUGACGGUAAUGGGUAAAGAAGCACCGGCUAACUACGUG
RNAcentral lists this ribosomal RNA (468 nucleotides) under uncultured bacterium. RNAcentral describes it as "partial 16S ribosomal RNA". It matches the Rfam family "Bacterial small subunit ribosomal RNA", at positions 28 to 507 of the family's 1533-position model. The record is from RNAcentral.